This 1520-nucleotide long non-coding RNA is filed under the name Homo sapiens (human). RNAcentral describes it as "non-protein coding lnc-ALDH8A1-2:1". The record is from RNAcentral. Lineage: Eukaryota; Metazoa; Chordata; Mammalia; Primates; Hominidae.
UCUUUUAUAACAAAGUAAUUUUCAAGUGGAAAUGCAAUACUUUUAAAACCAUAUAGUAGACCUUCUAGGGUGAACUAGGUCUCCAUUUGUUGGCUGAUUAGGGUUGUAACUACUAGGUAUGAGAUUCUUUUGGUGGGGAAAAAAUUAGAUAUUAUAGGGUGGUAAGAGAAGGCAACAAUACCUUAAAUAGGUUUCCAGGCUUCCUAUUUUCCUUGGCUUGGCUGCUGGUCUGUCAGGCAUGUACAUGACAAGUACUUGCCCUGUUGACUAAGGGAAUGUCACAGUCUCUUUGAGACUGCGAAGGUGGAACUGAGCAGACCUUUCCACCUUCCACCCUUGGCCAUCGAUCCUUGGUAAAAAGCCAAGUGUCUGCUUAUUCAUGAAUACACUCCUUGUGAUGAUUGUUGGCACUAAGUGUAUAUUCUGUACCAGCUGCUGUUUAUUGAUUGCUGUCUUAGUAGCUCAGGUAUGCUACGUGUUUUAGUUGACUUUAUUUUCCAGUUCAGCUGUAAAUUUUAAGAUGCAAAGCUGUUUUUAUUUGCAUUAUGAUCAAGGGCAUUAAUAAUUUACUUUAGAAAUAGAAAUAAUAUUGUAAUUAUAUUCUAAAUGAUAUAAAAUACAUUAUAAACAAUUUUUGCUCUUCACUCUUUUUGGUUUCUUAAAAGAUCUGAUGUUGUUCAUGGAUGGAUGUUUUGUCCUUUUGCAUUCUAAAGUCUUUAGGUGGCUCUUUUGGAUAUGAUUCUUCUUGCAAUAAAUUGCCAAGAACCAGGGUUUCAUUUCUGUACAGAGCACUUUUUAAAACUUUUCCUUUUUCCUAGUUACUAAACUGGCAUUUUAACCUCUUUUUCUCCUUUUAGCUUUGAAUCUGUCUUUCUUAAACUUGUCUUUUACUCUUUUUCUUCUCAUAUGUAUUAAUAACUAUAGUCAGUGUUUUAUAUUUAGUUUUUAGUACUCAGUGGGAGGUCAUGUAACUAAUUGUCAUACCAGGGAUAAAACUAAUAAGGUGCUCAUUUUUUGUAAGUAAAAGGAACCACUGAAGAUAAAAUACGGUUAUAGAGAAGAAUAAUGAGUUCUCAUAUGAUUAUUUACCUUUUUAAAUUGACCCUGAAUCUGUAUGUGGACCAUUGCAAAUAAACAAGUAUACAUUGUAUGUUGAGAAAGUACUGUGUAUCAACAUGUUUUUUGUGUUCAUGCAGGUAUAUAUUUGGUUAUAAAGUCAGUUUUAUAAUAGUUUAGAAAUUGUUUUAUAUAUAAACAGAUUAUAUAUAAAUGUGGACUAGACAGGGAGGGAUUAAUAUGAAUUUCUAUACUAGUUUUCCUUUACCUAUAUAUUUAUAAUGACAUAAAGCUCAGCUUAUGCAGUUAUACAAUUUUAAUUUUUAGAUUGUAAAAAAUUUGUCACAUUUUGAAUAUAUAUAUUUUGUAAAAGCUACAUUGAAAGAAAUUAAAAUUCUGAGAUUUUCCUAAAUCAAAUGUAAAAACAUACAAUCUAUCCAUUAGGAUUUUCUAUAUAAACUUGA